This 403-nucleotide ribosomal RNA is filed under the name uncultured bacterium. RNAcentral describes it as "partial 16S ribosomal RNA". It matches the Rfam family "Bacterial small subunit ribosomal RNA", at positions 28 to 526 of the family's 1533-position model. The record is from RNAcentral.
GACGAACGCUGGCGGCGUGCCUAAUACAUGCAAGUCGAACGCAGUGGGGACGGGUGAGUAACACGUGGGUAACCUCCCAUCAGAGGGGAUAACACUUGGAAACAGGUGCUAAACCACUACUGAUGGAUGGACCCGCGGUGCAUUAGCUAUUUGGUGAGGUAACGGCUCACCAAGGGCACGAUGCAUAGCAGACCUGAGAGGGUUAGUGGCCACAAUGGGACGGAGACACGGCCAAGACUACUACGGACGGCAGCAGUAGGGAAUGUUCGGCAAUGGACGAAAAUCUGACCGAGCAACGCAGGGUGAGUGAAGAAGGUUUUCGGAUCGUAAAACUCUGUUGUUAGAGAAGCGGUAUCUAACCAGAAAGCCACGGCUAACUACGUGCCAGCAGCCGCGGUAAUAC